CGGCGUUUUGAAUGGCGAUUUCUCGUUUACACCGAGAGGGUCGGCGGUUCGAGCCCGUCAGCGCCCACCA
Molecule: transfer RNA, 70 nt
Filed under: Novosphingobium sp. 12-63-9
Lineage: Bacteria; Pseudomonadati; Pseudomonadota; Alphaproteobacteria; Sphingomonadales; Sphingomonadaceae
Also listed under: 1 other name
Description: tRNA-Val
Source: RNAcentral